This is a long non-coding RNA of Ruditapes philippinarum (Manila clam), 1318 nucleotides long. RefSeq lists it as uncharacterized. The record is from RefSeq and is a predicted model, not a curated record. NCBI's taxonomy places the organism in Eukaryota, Metazoa, Mollusca, Bivalvia, Venerida, Veneridae. The transcript is spliced from 3 exons.
UAAAGUUUUUAUAGAAACCGCCGAUGUACCUCAACGUCAGAUAAAUAUAUGUAAAUGCAAUGUAACACCAACAUUUUUUAACAGCAGCGUUUCAUUAGAUUUCCGGAAAUAUUCGCCGAAAAGUGAAAAAGUUUAUUUCAAAUUACACGACAUAGUGCUGAACAAAACAGACGAACGUGCUAACUCAACUUUUACUAAAGAAAAUGAGCUGGUUUUGGAAACAGGAUCUGAUUUUAACAUGAAGGAUGUUUGUCUUAUUAUAUCUACAGAUGGUAAAACAAAAUUCAAUAUAUCCUGUGAAGAGUCACAAUUGGCUGUUACACAAUCCACGGUUCAAGAGAUUACGAUUAGUGAACUUAAGACAAGUACAAAUUCAACAUUAGAAAAUAGCAGUGAUGUAGAUAUCUGUACUAUUGGUAUGAUGCGAAGGGCUUAAAUAAAAUUUCUAUAUAAACUUGAACUUGUUGCAAUUUUUAUAAUUUGCUACAAAAGGGGAGCCAAGAAACAGAAGAAAAAUGUGAGGACACCAAAACUAUCACAGGAAGAGAAUGAAACAUCUGCAAGAAACGACGGAGGUGAUAAUGAUUAUUAUAUGACAGAGAAUCCUUUGUAUAACAUGACUGAACCCAUAAUGGACAAAAAUGAGUCCCCUCUAUAUUAGCUUGUACUAAAACGUGCACCGAAUGAUGAACAAAGAAUGGAAGCAUAUGAUGAUAAUCCAGACUUACCAAAUAUUUUUACUCAACCUUUGGUUUUCCAGCAGACUGGCGAUAAUAAUAUAGCUGACUUUGAAAAGUUUGGUGACGCUACUGACAGUGGGUACACUGAAAUCGUAAACGUCGAUGUUGUCAGUGGUCUUUACAAUCAAAGGAAUGAUGUUUAAAACUAACCGUAAUACCGUCAUUUAAUUCUACAUGGUGUAUUUAUGAUAACAGAAAAGUUUACUUCAGAAAUGCUUUUCUUCUUUAUUUGUUUUACAAUUUUGGACCUUAAUUAUGCUAUUGACAUGGAAUGGCAAGUUAAUGUUUUAUGAUGACCAUCUUAGGAAUACAUCUGCAUAUUUUGAUACAAAUUAAAACGUAUUAUUUUUUACUAUUUAAUUCUGCUAGUACCAGUCUCAGUAAGCGGAAUUGCUUGUAUCAACCAUACAGGCUCAAUUGAAGCGAGCAAACAAUGUAUUACGGGCCGACCAAUGCGGUUCUGUUAUUUCACAUAACUCUAGUUUUCAGACGGAAAUAUAUAUCGGAUACAGUUAGCCGUUUUUAUAUUUGAAAGUAAGAAAAUUACACCACAUUCCAAAAUAUUUACAAACGAAAUC